GCUAGACUAUCAGUAUCAUGACUUUGAUACUUUUUUAUUUGCUAGAAACUUCAAAUCAGGUUAUUGCACAAGUCAUUUUUUUCUAUUGUUGAUCAGUAUCUGGGGGCUGUACAUGCAAUUCUCUUAUGGAAUAGUGACCAGAUUUGAACAGCGAACUUGGUGCUCGUAGUUUUGUACCAAGAAACGUGAACAUCUCAAUAACCAAGUUUGCCAAACUCCAUGUAUCAAGAGACAUAUGAUUAAGAUGUGGAGAAAUAAGAUCAAAAUACUAUUUGUAUAGUAAAUGAUCAUCCAGAUGAGCACUAGCAUUACAAGGGUAGCGAUGAAAUCAAAGCAAAAUUUCUAUAAAUAAUCUUUUUGGUUAAAUUAUAACCUAGGAAUAGACAGAGAGAACAAUCAACGAAACUUAAAGUUGGGGACAAACAACACCGAAAUGGAUAUUCAUACAAAUAGGUUAAGACGAGGCACUAAAAUAUUCUAACAGAGAAAAUUGUAGUGAUAAACUCAAGCCUUCAAUUAACAAAAUUUGCAUUUC
Non-coding RNA from Vigna umbellata (rice bean), 535 nucleotides. NCBI's taxonomy places the organism in Eukaryota, Viridiplantae, Streptophyta, Magnoliopsida, Fabales, Fabaceae. The record is from RefSeq and is a predicted model, not a curated record.